RNAcentral lists this unclassified non-coding RNA (436 nucleotides) under Trichostema dichotomum (bastard pennyroyal). Its description in RNAcentral is "partial contains external transcribed spacer and 18S ribosomal RNA". Lineage: Eukaryota; Viridiplantae; Streptophyta; Magnoliopsida; Lamiales; Lamiaceae. The record is from RNAcentral.
CGAGCAGCGACGGCAUUGCAUGCGUGCCCCGUCGGGUUUCGGCCACCGUGCUUGUGCACUCGGCCAAUGUCGGUUAAGUUGCGUUGGGUUCCUGUUGGUGUGGCAUUUUGUCGGCUAGAUUGUCCCGUUUCCGCCUUGUACUGCUGCUCCUUACGGAAACGUGGUGCGGGGUGGACCAUAAAGCGCCCGUCGUGUCUCGCAAUCCUUGCAUUUCUUCGAGAGUGCUCGGUUUGACGAACCACGGCGGCGUGCUCGAUAUCUCGGAUGCGGAACACUGAGUGGCUACGAGGCCGUGGCCUCCGAUGCCCUCUGAAAAAAGGCUUUCUACGCUGCGUGCGAACGACUUCCGUGCGGGUCUUGGUCGGGAUCCUUCGCGGCCCUUGAUCAUGCCCGCGCGGUGUCGGUGAGGAAUGCUACCUGGUUGAUCCUGCCAGUA